ACUCUCGACACCUACGGGAGACAGCAGUGGGGAAUAUUGCACAAUGGGGGAAACCCUGAUGCAGCGACGCCGCGUGGAGGAAGAAGGUCUUCGGAUUGUAAACUCCUGUUGUUGGGGAAAAAGAGGAUGGUACCCAACAAGGAAGUGACGGCUAACUACGUGCCAGCAGCCGCGGUAAUCUGAGCGGGCUGGCAAGGC
RNAcentral lists this ribosomal RNA (198 nucleotides) under uncultured bacterium. Its description in RNAcentral is "partial 16S ribosomal RNA". It matches the Rfam family "Bacterial small subunit ribosomal RNA", at positions 328 to 539 of the family's 1533-position model. The record is from RNAcentral.